This is a ribosomal RNA of Clonorchis sinensis, 2904 nucleotides long. It matches the Rfam family "Bacterial large subunit ribosomal RNA". Lineage: Eukaryota; Metazoa; Platyhelminthes; Trematoda; Opisthorchiida; Opisthorchiidae. The record is from Rfam.
GGUUAAGCGACUAAGCGUACACGGUGGAUGCCCUGGCAGUCAGAGGCGAUGAAGGACGUGCUAAUCUGCGAUAAGCGUCGGUAAGGUGAUAUGAACCGUUAUAACCGGCGAUUUCCGAAUGGGGAAACCCAGUGUGUUUCGACACACUAUCAUUAACUGAAUCCAUAGGUUAAUGAGGCGAACCGGGGGAACUGAAACAUCUAAGUACCCCGAGGAAAAGAAAUCAACCGAGAUUCCCCCAGUAGCGGCGAGCGAACGGGGAGCAGCCCAGAGCCUGAAUCAGUGUGUGUGUUAGUGGAAGCGUCUGGAAAGGCGCGCGAUACAGGGUGACAGCCCCGUACACAAAAAUGCACAUGCUGUGAGCUCGAUGAGUAGGGCGGGACACGUGGUAUCCUGUCUGAAUAUGGGGGGACCAUCCUCCAAGGCUAAAUACUCCUGACUGACCGAUAGUGAACCAGUACCGUGAGGGAAAGGCGAAAAGAACCCCGGCGAGGGGAGUGAAAAAGAACCUGAAACCGUGUACGUACAAGCAGUGGGAGCACGCUUAGGCGUGUGACUGCGUACCUUUUGUAUAAUGGGUCAGCGACUUAUAUUCUGUAGCAAGGUUAACCGAAUAGGGGAGCCGAAGGGAAACCGAGUCUUAACUGGGCGUUAAGUUGCAGGGUAUAGACCCGAAACCCGGUGAUCUAGCCAUGGGCAGGUUGAAGGUUGGGUAACACUAACUGGAGGACCGAACCGACUAAUGUUGAAAAAUUAGCGGAUGACUUGUGGCUGGGGGUGAAAGGCCAAUCAAACCGGGAGAUAGCUGGUUCUCCCCGAAAGCUAUUUAGGUAGCGCCUCGUGAAUUCAUCUCCGGGGGUAGAGCACUGUUUCGGCAAGGGGGUCAUCCCGACUUACCAACCCGAUGCAAACUGCGAAUACCGGAGAAUGUUAUCACGGGAGACACACGGCGGGUGCUAACGUCCGUCGUGAAGAGGGAAACAACCCAGACCGCCAGCUAAGGUCCCAAAGUCAUGGUUAAGUGGGAAACGAUGUGGGAAGGCCCAGACAGCCAGGAUGUUGGCUUAGAAGCAGCCAUCAUUUAAAGAAAGCGUAAUAGCUCACUGGUCGAGUCGGCCUGCGCGGAAGAUGUAACGGGGCUAAACCAUGCACCGAAGCUGCGGCAGCGACGCUUAUGCGUUGUUGGGUAGGGGAGCGUUCUGUAAGCCUGCGAAGGUGUGCUGUGAGGCAUGCUGGAGGUAUCAGAAGUGCGAAUGCUGACAUAAGUAACGAUAAAGCGGGUGAAAAGCCCGCUCGCCGGAAGACCAAGGGUUCCUGUCCAACGUUAAUCGGGGCAGGGUGAGUCGACCCCUAAGGCGAGGCCGAAAGGCGUAGUCGAUGGGAAACAGGUUAAUAUUCCUGUACUUGGUGUUACUGCGAAGGGGGGACGGAGAAGGCUAUGUUGGCCGGGCGACGGUUGUCCCGGUUUAAGCGUGUAGGCUGGUUUUCCAGGCAAAUCCGGAAAAUCAAGGCUGAGGCGUGAUGACGAGGCACUACGGUGCUGAAGCAACAAAUGCCCUGCUUCCAGGAAAAGCCUCUAAGCAUCAGGUAACAUCAAAUCGUACCCCAAACCGACACAGGUGGUCAGGUAGAGAAUACCAAGGCGCUUGAGAGAACUCGGGUGAAGGAACUAGGCAAAAUGGUGCCGUAACUUCGGGAGAAGGCACGCUGAUAUGUAGGUGAAGCGACUUGCUCGUGGAGCUGAAAUCAGUCGAAGAUACCAGCUGGCUGCAACUGUUUAUUAAAAACACAGCACUGUGCAAACACGAAAGUGGACGUAUACGGUGUGACGCCUGCCCGGUGCCGGAAGGUUAAUUGAUGGGGUUAGCGCAAGCGAAGCUCUUGAUCGAAGCCCCGGUAAACGGCGGCCGUAACUAUAACGGUCCUAAGGUAGCGAAAUUCCUUGUCGGGUAAGUUCCGACCUGCACGAAUGGCGUAAUGAUGGCCAGGCUGUCUCCACCCGAGACUCAGUGAAAUUGAACUCGCUGUGAAGAUGCAGUGUACCCGCGGCAAGACGGAAAGACCCCGUGAACCUUUACUAUAGCUUGACACUGAACAUUGAGCCUUGAUGUGUAGGAUAGGUGGGAGGCUUUGAAGUGUGGACGCCAGUCUGCAUGGAGCCGACCUUGAAAUACCACCCUUUAAUGUUUGAUGUUCUAACGUUGACCCGUAAUCCGGGUUGCGGACAGUGUCUGGUGGGUAGUUUGACUGGGGCGGUCUCCUCCUAAAGAGUAACGGAGGAGCACGAAGGUUGGCUAAUCCUGGUCGGACAUCAGGAGGUUAGUGCAAUGGCAUAAGCCAGCUUGACUGCGAGCGUGACGGCGCGAGCAGGUGCGAAAGCAGGUCAUAGUGAUCCGGUGGUUCUGAAUGGAAGGGCCAUCGCUCAACGGAUAAAAGGUACUCCGGGGAUAACAGGCUGAUACCGCCCAAGAGUUCAUAUCGACGGCGGUGUUUGGCACCUCGAUGUCGGCUCAUCACAUCCUGGGGCUGAAGUAGGUCCCAAGGGUAUGGCUGUUCGCCAUUUAAAGUGGUACGCGAGCUGGGUUUAGAACGUCGUGAGACAGUUCGGUCCCUAUCUGCCGUGGGCGCUGGAGAACUGAGGGGGGCUGCUCCUAGUACGAGAGGACCGGAGUGGACGCAUCACUGGUGUUCGGGUUGUCAUGCCAAUGGCACUGCCCGGUAGCUAAAUGCGGAAGAGAUAAGUGCUGAAAGCAUCUAAGCACGAAACUUGCCCCGAGAUGAGUUCUCCCUGACUCCUUGAGAGUCCUGAAGGAACGUUGAAGACGACGACGUUGAUAGGCCGGGUGUGUAAGCGCAGCGAUGCGUUGAGCUAACCGGUACUAAUGAACCGUGAGGCUUAACCUU